AACAGAGUAGAAGAUAGAGCGUUAAGUGCUAUAAGGAUGGGAUGUUGCCUUUUAGACGAAGAAACAAAUUUCACGAUUCUAUCUUUGCAUUCGCUGCA
This is a non-coding RNA of Enterococcus sp. HSIEG1, 98 nucleotides long. Lineage: Bacteria; Bacillati; Bacillota; Bacilli; Lactobacillales; Enterococcaceae. The record is from Rfam.